RNAcentral lists this ribosomal RNA (433 nucleotides) under uncultured bacterium. RNAcentral describes it as "partial 16S ribosomal RNA". It matches the Rfam family "Bacterial small subunit ribosomal RNA", at positions 29 to 507 of the family's 1533-position model. The record is from RNAcentral.
AACGAACGCUGGCGGCAUGCCUAACACAUGCAAGUCGAACGAGACCUUCGGGUCUAGUGGCGCACGGGUGCGUAACGCGUGGGAACCUGCCCUUAGGUUCGGAAUAACUCCCCGAAAGGGGUGCUAAUACCGGAUAAUGUCUUCGGACCAAAGAUUUAUCGCCUUUGGAUGGGCCCGCGUUGGAUUAGCUAGUUGGUAGGGUAAAAGCCUACCAAGGCGACGAUCCAUAGCUGGUCUGAGAGGAUGAUCAGCCACACUGGGACUGAGACACGGCCCAGACUCCUACGGGAGGCAGCAGUGGGGAAUAUUGGACAAUGGGCGAAAGACUGAUCAAGCAAUGCCGAGUGAGUGAUGAAGGCCUUAGGGUUGUAAAGCUCUUUUACCCGGGAUGAUAAUGACAGUACCGGGAGAAUAAGCUCCGGCUAACUCCGUG